UCUUAACUUUCCUUUUCUUAUUCUCUUUGUGUUUCUGCCUAAAUCACAUUCUUCAGUGAAGGUGAAGCUUCAUGACUCUGCUACUCUGCGCUGCUCUGAGAGAUGUUCUGGUUUAGCGAGAUGGACUGUGUUCCAUAAACCCAGAGAUGCUCUGGCUGAGUGUGAUCAGACUUCAUGUAGAUCAGUGAAGGAGGGAUAUCAGAUGAUCCAUGAUCAGUACCUGAAGGGAGAUCUCUCUCUCACCAUCACUGACACCGAUUUCAGCAAGAGAACCUCAUACACGUGUGACUGUGAUGGUAAAGAUCUCUGUGACGUGGCCCUGAAGAUUGAAAGUAAGUGUCCGUCUGUUUCCUUCACUGAGCUUUACUGCCUGAACUCCAAUGAUUUGAGUUCUGUGUUUAGUGUCAGACCUGCAGUCAAUAAAUGACAUUCCUGAUUGUUUUUCUCCUCAGCUGUGAAUACUCUAGUUCAGAUAAAGGCCGGUGAAUCUCUGGUGCUGAAUUUGGACAUAUUAGAUCCGUUGGAGGUGAUUUACGACUGCAGAGGAGCAUCUGGAACAUUCAGUGGUCAGAUCUGUACAGUGGAUGGACAAUCACUAGAGUGUAAACCUGAAUAUAAACACAGAAUGUCUAAACUAACAUCUGAUCUAGAGCUGAGAGAAAUGAAGCCGUCUGAUAGUGGAGUUUACACUAUUCGGGACAUCAAGACUAAAGAGGACAUUCACGUCUAUUCAGUGAUUGUCCAAGAUAAACCACAGCCUCCAUGGUGGUCAAUUGUAUUGAUAACUGCCUUUGUGAUCCUGGUAUUGGUGGCACUUUCGCUUUAUCUGAUGAAGUACAGUCAGACAUGCAGAAGAAGGAUUCAACGUUUCUAUAGGUUUGUGCACAUGCUUGAAAUCUACCAUUUAAUCAAUGAGAGAUAAAAAUCCAUCAACCUCCCUCUCCCUGUCUCCCUCACGUUCUCCUUCGCUCUCUCUGUCUCACGUUCUCUCUCUUUCAUGUACAUGUGUGGCCGUCUGAGGUGUGAGUGGACCAUGUGUGAGAGCGUCUGGC
Molecule: long non-coding RNA, 1052 nt
Organism: Pygocentrus nattereri (red-bellied piranha)
Lineage: Eukaryota; Metazoa; Chordata; Actinopteri; Characiformes; Serrasalmidae
Source: Ensembl